RNAcentral lists this long non-coding RNA (430 nucleotides) under Homo sapiens (human). RNAcentral describes it as "long non-coding RNA NONHSAT125667.2". Lineage: Eukaryota; Metazoa; Chordata; Mammalia; Primates; Hominidae. The record is from RNAcentral.
CUGGAUUCUCAAGACAUUCUGAAAGGCCUUUUUGAACUCUUGGCUGGAGCAUGGGUAUAUGAUGGGGUUGAUGCAGCUGUUUAGAUAUCCGAGCCAAAAUACUAUUUUAAAAACUGUUUCAGAGGGCUUGAAAUCAGGGAAGAAAGACCAAUGGGCAUGACUAAGAAAAAAGGCAGCCAGCAGAGGACGAAGCAGCCGACCACGAUGCCCAGCGUUUUGGCCGCUUUCUUCUCCCGGGAGAACUUGAGGAGCCUCACUGAGAAGUGCGUCUUGGUCUUGGCGCUGGCCAUCCCGCUGCCUCCUGCCGGGGCGUUUUUCCGAUGGAUGCGGAGCGUCACUUGCUCCGAGUCCGACUUGUCGGUCUUGAGGCCAGACUUGAGGCCCCGGCUCUCCCUCUUGGCCACCACGUAGACGCGGCAGUACAUGACCA